Long non-coding RNA from Gasterosteus aculeatus aculeatus (three-spined stickleback), 534 nucleotides. Lineage: Eukaryota; Metazoa; Chordata; Actinopteri; Perciformes; Gasterosteidae. The record is from Ensembl.
CACCAUCAUCCUUUUGUAGGUGGAUGUCAUUCAAACUGCAACGGCCGUAGAGAGAGAAGCCGCAGACGCAACCUACCCCAGGAUGGAUUCAGCUGGCUGCCGGUAACGUUCGAUCCGAAACCCGGCCGGUUCGUUCUAUUCAAUAUUCGCUUGAAUAAGUCGCCCCCUAGCGGCGCGAGGCGGUGCUCGCAUCCGCACUGAGCGCACGGAGGCGUCGGCGCGCACAGCCACCUGUGACAUAAGAGUUUGUGAGCGUGAACCCCGGUGGAUCGGAGACGGGGAGAGGGAUCCAUCUGGUGGACACUGCCACUGAUACAGUACAUGUUUGGGUGAUGAACGUGAAGACCUGCAGGACUCUGCUAAAAAAAACAUUCAUGGGAUGCGGAUUAACAGUGCCACCCGCUGGACACUCCGCGCAAGCACAUUUUAGAUUUGGUUUAUAGAUUCCACAAAUAGCGUACAUCCCGCCAACAGAGGCUUCGCUCUCCUCACCUGUGACGAGGCCACAACGCAUCCACACGUCAAAAGAAGGGG